GAGCCUGAUGCAGCGACGCCGCGUGGGGGAUGACGGCCUUCGGGUUGUAAACUCCUUUCGCUAGGGACGAAGCUUUUUGUGACGGUACCUAGAUAAGAAGCACCGGCUAACUACGUGCCAGCAGCCGCGGUAAUACGUAGGGUGCGAGCGUUGUCCGGAAUUACUGGGCGUAAAGGGCUCGUAGGUGGUUUGUCGCGUCGUCUGUGAAAUUCCGGGGCUUAACUCCGGGCGUGCAGGCGAUACGGGCAUAACUUGAGUACUGUAGGGGUAACUGGAAUUCCUGGUGUAGCGGUGAAAUGCGCAGAUAUCAGGAGGAACACCGAUGGCGAAGGCAGGUUACUGGGCAGUUACUGACGCUGAGGAGCGAAAGCAUGGGUAGCGAACAGGAUUAGAUACCCUGGUAGUCCAUGCCGUAAACGGUGGGCGCUAGGUGUGAGGGUCUUUUCACGACUUUCGUGCCGUAGCUAACGCAUUAAGCGCCCCGCCUGGGGAGUACGGCCGCAAGGCUAAAACUCAAAGGAAUUGACGG
Molecule: ribosomal RNA, 529 nt
Filed under: uncultured Corynebacterium sp.
Lineage: Bacteria; Bacillati; Actinomycetota; Actinomycetes; Mycobacteriales; Corynebacteriaceae
Description: bacterial SSU rRNA
Rfam family: Bacterial small subunit ribosomal RNA
Source: RNAcentral